UUCAUCUCUUCUUCGCAGCUCCUCUUUCUCUCCUAUUUUUCUUCAUCCUUCUUCUUCGCAACAACAGUUAAACACUUAAACUUACUGAGGAGAGAUCGAUUGAUUCGAUCCAACUAUUGGGUACUUGAGUUGAAAUUGAACCAAGAGUUACUGGAUCCUAUCAACAAUAAUUCCACCACCAGUGCUUCCAUGGAAUAGAUCUCCACAACCACUUCACCACCACUGCUACCACUUCAAUUCUUCUUUUCUUCAGUGUAGUGUGUAGUACUGCGGCUAUUAGUUAUUAAGACAGAAACACUUAAAGAGUUUAAGAAUACUGUAGUAUUGUUUGUGUGUGUCUGUGUGUGUCUGUGUGCUUCUGUUGCCUGUAGUGGACUGCAGUCUGCAGCUUUGCUACUUGUUAUUUUUCAUAUUUUCAAGACUUUGGCACUUUGCUUUGCUAGUAUUAUUGCUGCUUGUUAGUUGUUA
Long non-coding RNA from Papaver somniferum (opium poppy), 468 nucleotides. RefSeq lists it as uncharacterized. The record is from RefSeq and is a predicted model, not a curated record. The transcript is spliced from 3 exons. Lineage: Eukaryota; Viridiplantae; Streptophyta; Magnoliopsida; Ranunculales; Papaveraceae.